CCCUUUGGCAGAACCAGGAAGUCCCUCCCACAAACUCUCUUCGGUGGAAACUAACCUGAUCCGAGUCUCUCUGUCGUCUGUCUGUGUGUGAGUGAACAACAACAGUCUAAAUGGCUCAGCAGGGAGUUCUACUGGACCAGGACUAGUUAUGUUGUUCUGUCUGUCUGGAUCUACUAAAGGAGCCGGUGGCUAUUCCUUGUUGACACAGUUACUGUAGAAGUUGUAUUGAGGGCUACUGGGAUCAGGACGAACAGGGCAUCUACAGCUGUCCUCAGUGCAAUCAGACCUUCACUCCAAGGCCUACUCUGAGGAAAAAUAACAUGUUGGCUGAGGUGGUGGAGACACUGAAGAAGACAGGACUCCAGGCUGCUCCCCCUCCUCUGUGCUAUGCUGGACCUGGAGAUGUGGCGUGUGAUUUCUGCACUGGGACCAGAAAGCCCUCAUGUCCUGUCUGGUGUCUUACUGUGAGACUCACCUCCAACCUCACUCCAGGACUAAAGAAACACAAGCUGGUCAACUGUGUGCUGUGGUGAAUGUUUGGUAACAAUCAACAACAUAGUCCAGGAGAGAGAGAGAGAAGGUGCGGAAGGAGCACCAACAGGCUGUGGAGUCUCUUAAGCGUUCUGCAAAUGCAGCAGUGGAUGACAGUGAGAGGAUCUUUACUGAACUGAUCCGCUCCAUGGAGGAAAGACGCUCUGAGGUGAGGGAGCUGAUCAGAGCUCAGGAGAAGGCUGAAGUGAGUCGUGCUGAAGGUCUACUGGAGCCACUGAAACAGGAGCUAGUUGAUCUGAGGAGGAGAGAUGCUGAGCUGGAGAAACUCACAAACAGGAUCACAUCCAUUUCCUUCAGGCGACUAUACUGUCUUGUUACAUUAUGAAAUGUAAUAUCUUAUUACAGGUUACACUGAAUUAGAGCUAGAAGUGACCCUUCUUAUAAUCCAGUGAUGAGCUAGAAGUGACCCUUCUUAUAAUCCAGUGAUGAGCUAGAAGUGACCCUCCUUAUAAAUCAGUGAUGAGCUAGAAGUGACCCUCCUUAUAAUUCAGUGAUGAGCUAGAAGUGACCCUUCUUAUAAUCCAGUGAUGAGCUAGAAGUGACCCUUCUUAUAAUCCAGUGAUGAGCUAGAAGUGACCCUUCUUAUAAUCCAGUGAUGAGCUAGAAGUGACCCUUUUUAUAAUCCAGUGAUGAGCUAGAAGUGACCCUUCUUAUAAUCCAGUGAUGAGCUAGAAGUGACCCUCCUUAUAAUUGAGUGAUGAGCUAGAAGUGACCCUUCUUAUAAUCCAGUGAUGAGCUAGAAGUGACCCUCCUUAUAAUUGAGUGAUGAGCUAGAAGUGACCCUCCUUAUAAUCCAGUGAUGAGCUAGAAGUGACCCUUCUUAUAAUCCAGUGAUGAGCUAGAAGUGACCCUUCUUAUAAUCCAGUGAUGAGCUAGAAGUGACCCUUCUUAUAAUCCAGUGAUGUCAAUCUUUGCUUAUUGGUAAACUAAACUGAGCAUUGUGGAGCCCUGUAUUGUGGCUGAGCGCUGACACACACAAGAUAUGUUUUUAAUACGUUAUUAAUAAUAUCAAAUAUUACAUUAGAUUCCUAAAAAGCAUUCUCAGGCCCUCACGUUGAAAACAGACAAUGUCAUGUCUUUAUUGAAUGAAUAAAUUAUAAAAGGACAAACAUAAAACACUAUACUAACAUAAAUAAAUCCUUUAUUUAGUUCCAAAGAGAUCCCCACCAGACCAGUAGACAUUUUCACCUCGUCUCUUCAUAAGUUACUACUGUAUCUUAUACAAUGUUUGAUAUAAUAUAAUAAUAUAAUAGUAUAAUAAUGUAAUAGUAUAAUAAUAUACUAGUCAUUUCUCAUCCAGUAAUCUCUUAACAGCUUGUUUACAUUUGGCACAGGAGGUGGAAGAGAGGGAGGAGAAGAGAGGAGGAGAAAACAGAGGGAGAGAGUGAUUGGUCAAGAGGAGAGAAAAAAGAGAAGGGGAUGAGUGGGGAGAAUAAAGGAAGGAGGGUGAAAAGACCGAUGAAUAGAGGGAUGGAGAAGAAAGAGAAUGAGAAGGGAGAGAUGGAGAGAGAGAAAAAUGUACAAAAGUAUUUGUAUGGUUGAUAAAAUGGGUCCAUUGUUUGUCUGACUCCAUGGACAUUUCCCCCAUGAUUCAACAGUUCAAGAGGACCUAUGGUUAGUCAGUGUGCGUAUCGCGGAAGUCUUCUAUAGCAGACGAUCCAGUGUAUGCUGGUUUAGGGAUAAGGGUUAGGGUGUAGGGUUUAAGUGAGUGUCACACCCUGACCUUAGAGAGACUUUUUUUAUUUCUCUAUUUGGUUAGGUCAGGGUGUGAUUUGGGUGGGCAUUCUAGUUUGUAUAUAUCUUUGUUGGCCGGGUAUGGUUCCCAAUCAGAGGCAGCGGUCUAUUGUUGUCUCUGAUUGGGGAUCAUACUUAGGCAGCCCUUUUUCCCACCUUGUUGUGGGAUCUUGUCUUUGUUUAUGCAUGACUAGCUUUACGUUCGGUUUGUGUGCAUUGUUUUUUCCCGGUGUUAUGUUUUCAAAUAAAGAGAGAAUGUACGCCUA
Molecule: long non-coding RNA, 2552 nt
Organism: Oncorhynchus kisutch (coho salmon)
Lineage: Eukaryota; Metazoa; Chordata; Actinopteri; Salmoniformes; Salmonidae
Exons: 2
Source: RefSeq, a predicted model, not a curated record